GACGAACGCUGGCGGCGUGCUUAACACAUGCAAGUCGAACGGAAAGGCCUCUUUCGGGGGGUACUCGAGUGGCGAACGGGUGAGUAACACGUGAGUAACCUGCCCUUGACUUUGGGAUAACUUCAGGAAACUGGGGCUAAUACCGGAUAGGAGCUCCUGCUGCAUGGUGGGGGUUGGAAAGUUUCGGCGGUUGGGGAUGGACUCGCGGCUUAUCAGCUUGUUGGUGGGGUAGUGGCUUACCAAGGCUUUGACGGGUAGCCGGCCUGAGAGGGUGACCGGCCACAUUGGGACUGAGAUACGGCCCAGACUCCUACGGGAGGCAGAAGUGGGGAAUAUUGCACAAUGGGUGGAAGCCUGAUGCAGCAACGCCGUGUGCGGGAUGACGGCCUUCGGGUUGUAAACCGCUUUCGCUCAUGACGAAGCUUUGUGUGACGGUAGUGGGUAAAGAAGCACCGGCUAACUACGUG
RNAcentral lists this ribosomal RNA (467 nucleotides) under uncultured bacterium. RNAcentral's name for it is "partial 16S ribosomal RNA". It matches the Rfam family "Bacterial small subunit ribosomal RNA", at positions 28 to 507 of the family's 1533-position model. The record is from RNAcentral.